UACGGAGGGUGCAAGCGUUAUCCGGAUUCACUGGGUUUAAAGGGUGCGUAGGUGGAUUAGUAAGUCAGUGGUGAAAUCUCCGGGCUUAACCCGGAAACUGCCAUUGAUACUAUUAGUCUUGAAUACCGUGGAGGUCAGCGGAAUAUGUCAUGUAGCGGUGAAAUGCUUAGAUAUGACAUAGAACACCAAUUGCGAAGGCAGCUGGCUACACGAGCAUUGACACUCAGGCACGAAAGCGUGGGGAUCAAACAGG
This 253-nucleotide ribosomal RNA is filed under the name uncultured bacterium. Its description in RNAcentral is "partial 16S ribosomal RNA". It matches the Rfam family "Bacterial small subunit ribosomal RNA", at positions 524 to 776 of the family's 1533-position model. The record is from RNAcentral.